RNAcentral lists this ribosomal RNA (1451 nucleotides) under uncultured bacterium. Its description in RNAcentral is "16S ribosomal RNA". It matches the Rfam family "Bacterial small subunit ribosomal RNA". The record is from RNAcentral.
AGGGUUUGAUCAUGGCUCAGAACGUACGCUGGCGGCACGCCUAACACAUGCAAGUCGAACGAAGUAGCAAUACUUAGUGGCAGACGGGUGAGUAACAUGUGGGUAUCUGCCCUUUGGCCUGGAAUAACACGAGGAAACUUGUGCUAAUACCGGAUAAGUCUUUACGGAGAAAGCUUUAUGCACCAUUGGAUGAGCCCGCACUUGAUUAGUUUGUUGGUGGGGUAAUGGCCUACCAAGACUGUGAUCAAUAGCUGAUUUGAGAGGAUGAUCAGCCACAUUGGGACUGAGACACGGCCCAAACUCCUACGGGAGGCAGCAGUGGGGAAUCUUGCACAAUGGAGGAAACUCUGAUGCAGCGAUGCCGCGUGAGUGAAGAAGGCCCUUGGGUUGUAAAGCUCUUUCGUCGGGGAAGAAAAUGACUGUACCCGAAUAAGAAGGUCCGGCUAACUUCGUGCCAGCAGCCGCGGUAAUACGAAGGGACCUAGCGUAGUUCGGAAUUACUGGGCUUAAAGAGUUCGUAGGUGGUUGAAAAAGUUAGUGGUGAAAUCCCAGAGCUUAACUCUGGAACUGCCAUUAAAACUUUUCAGCUAGAGUAUGAUAGAGGAAAGCAGAAUUUCUAGUGUAGAGGUGAAAUUCGUAGAUAUUAGAAAGAAUACCAAUUGCGAAGGCAGCUUUCUGGAUCAUUACUGACACUGAGGAACGAAAGCAUGGGUAGCGAAGAGGAUUAGAUACCCUCGUAGUCCAUACCAUAAACGAUGAUUAUUAGAUGUGGGGAAUUAUUUCUCUGUAUCAUAGCUAACGCGUUAAAUAAUCCGCCUGGGGAGUACGACCGCAAGGUUAAAACUCAAAUGAAUUGACGGGGACCCGCACAAGCGGUGGAGCAUGUGGUUUAAUUCGAAGCAACGCGCAGAACCUUACCAACCCUUGACAUGUUCGUCGCGAGACUAAGAAAUUAGUCUCUUCGGUUCGGCCGGACGAAACACAGGUGCUGCAUGGCUGUCGUCAGCUCGUGUCGUGAGAUGUUGGGUUAAGUCCCGCAACGAGCGCAACCCCUACUUUUAGUUGCCAUCAGGUUAAGCUGGGCACUCUAAUAGAACUGCCUGUGAUAAACAGGAGGAAGGUGGGGAUGACGUCAAGUCCUCAUGGCCCUUACGGGUUGGGCUACACACGUGCUACAAUGGUAAGUACAAUGAGAUGCCGAACAGCGAUGUUUAGCCAAACUCAAAAACUUACCUCAGUUCGGAUUGCACUCUGCAACUCGAGUGCAUGAAGCUGGAAUCGCUAGUAAUCGUGGAUCAGCGUGCCACGGUGAAUACGUUCCCGGGUCUUGUACACACCGCCCGUCACACCAUGGAAGUUAGAUUUACCUUAAGGCAAGUUAUGAACCCUCGGGACAUGCUUGACCACGGUAAGUUUAGCAACUGGGGUGAAGUCGUAACAAGGUAACCGUA